Molecule: transfer RNA, 72 nt
Filed under: Camelus bactrianus (Bactrian camel)
Lineage: Eukaryota; Metazoa; Chordata; Mammalia; Artiodactyla; Camelidae
Also listed under: 2 other names
Rfam family: tRNA
About the family: Transfer RNA (tRNA) molecules are approximately 80 nucleotides in length. Their secondary structure includes four short double-helical elements and three loops (D, anti-codon, and T loops). Further hydrogen bonds mediate the characteristic L-shaped molecular structure. tRNAs have two regions of fundamental functional importance: the anti-codon, which is responsible for specific mRNA codon recognition, and the 3' end, to which the tRNAs corresponding amino acid is attached (by aminoacyl-tRNA synthetases). tRNAs cope with the degeneracy of the genetic code in two manners: having more than one tRNA (with a specific anti-codon) for a particular amino acid; and 'wobble' base-pairing, i.e. permitting non-standard base-pairing at the 3rd anti-codon position.
Source: Rfam by way of RNAcentral
GAGGAUAUAGUUCAGCGGUAGAGUGCAUGCCUAGCUUGCACGAGGUCCUGGGUUCAAUUCCCAAUGCCUCCA